RNAcentral lists this transfer RNA (67 nucleotides) under Triraphis sp. QL-2013. Its description in RNAcentral is "tRNA-Leu". Lineage: Eukaryota; Metazoa; Arthropoda; Insecta; Hymenoptera; Braconidae. The record is from RNAcentral.
UUUAAUAUGGCAGAUUAGUGUAAUGAAUUUAAGAUUCAUAAAUAAAAUUUAAUUAUUUUUAUUAAAA